AGACUCGACGCCUUCCGCGUCUUCAAACUCCAUGGCCGCCAAGUCGUUCGCGCCCUUGACAACCUUGUGAACCCAGCGCGCGUUGGCCAGCUCUGCGAGGUGGUUGUGAAACGACGUGUCCGCGUAGAGCGGGAAAGAAGGCGACGUCAAGCUCGUGUACUUGAGAUCGCCGUCGACGUAGAACUCAAUCGCGCCCGCGUCGUUCACGAUCACUUGGAAAGUCUCACCCGCGACGAAGACGCCGGCAUCGAACUUGUUCACGCCCUUCUCUUGGAAUCGGACCUGAUUGCCGUUGCAGAACACGGCGUAGUCGAUGGUCGUUUGGCUGUGGCCCGAGGGCGUGCUCGACAAGCCAAACUGCAAGUGCCUGUUGUCGGUGCGCAUGCAGUCGCCGGAAAUGCCGCGAACCUCGUCGCCGACUUUCGUGAUGGCGCGCGCGCUGUACGCACCUCUUGCCCAGUUGUUCCCGCCUUGAGUACGUUUGAGGUAGCCCUGUUUGCCGUCCGUCGUCAUGCCCUGCGAAAGUCCGACCCACUCGAUGAGAUCGAGAUCCCGUGAACCUUUAUGAACAACUUUUAUCCACUUCACAUUUUCGAGGUGUCCUCCACCUUCAUCAACGUAUCCAUCGGCAAACAAUGGGAAGAUCGGUUCUCUGCUACUAUUGUAGACAGAAUGUCCUUCUUUAUAAUAGUGAACGAUACCCUCGUCAUUAAAUGCGACCUGGAACGUUUCUCCCGCGAGGUAUGUUCCGAUCGUGGCCAUAAGCUCACCGUCUUCGUAAACUUCCAUUGUUCCGGCAUUGCAACCAACGGCAUACUCAAUAGCAUCGCCAUCCGAGGGUGUGUAAUGAGCGCUGCUCAAACCGAAUAUCAUUUUCGUUGUUGUGUCACUGCAAUCCGCAGAAAUACCGCGAACUUCGUCAUAAAUUUUAGUUACGGCGCGUUUACUUGUCGAGCGCACAAUGUCCAUUUUUUCAGGUGUAACCGGCAAGUACACGUCGCCGUGUGACACUUCACAUCGCUGGACUGUUUCAAAGUCCAUCAUGUUUAGCCAAUGCAUGUGGCUUAGCUUCGCACCUUCGGUGAAGAUUCGAGCCUGGGAGUAAAGAGGGAAUUCAACACUUUUAGUGCUGACAUGAAGAACAUUACCAUUUUGCAGAUACUCGAUGACACCAUGCUCGUUGAUGACGAUAGAAAAUGUCUCUCCAGGGCUGUACGCCGAAGGAGGCUCGACAAUGCGCUCGUGCCUUUGGAAGGCUGACGCAUUGUGUUGGUCAUUUAUGUAUUCGGGUGAAUCACUAUCCAAUGAAUCAAGUGCCAAGUCUGGCGAAGUACCAAGAUGUGUUGAAGGCGGUGGACCUUGAGCAUCGUUCUCCGGGGUCGGGACUUGAAGUUGGCCUUCAAUCCCAUGUGGUGUAUUCGGCUCGGGACGUCGAUGUGGCUCGAUUGUUUUGAUGACAACUCCAUCUUCAAGGAGACGCAACGUUCCGGCAUCACAGUAUAUCGCAAAGGACAGGUUCGUCUGCGCCGGAGCAGUAGCGGUUUCAUUCGCAGCGGUUUCAUUCAACUGAGCAUCUUGAUCACCUUGCACCAUGAGUCCAAACAUCAUCUGUGACUUGUUGUCGGAACAAUCGGCAGACACGCCUUUUUUGGUGUCAUUCCAACCGCGAAUUGAUGAACGACUCGUUGCGAAAGCAAGUAAUGAAGCUUCUUCGAUGCGUUUUGCCGCCUCUUCACUCAACACGUGAGCGAGAGAUCCAGGUGUAAGAGUCGCAUUCUCAGGUAGAAGGAACUCAACAGGCUCAAGGUCAUCGGCACCUUCAAUGAUUCGGUAAACCCAGCGCGCGUUGGCCAGCUCUGCGAGGUGGUUGUGAAACGACGUGUCGGCGUAGAGCGGGAAAGAAGGCGACGUCAAGCUCGUGUACUUGAGAUCGCCGUCGACGUAGAACUCAAUCGCGCCCGCGUCGUUCACGAUCACUUGGAAAGUCUCACCCGCGACGAAGACGCCGGCAUCGAACUUGUUCACGCCCUUCUCUUGGAAUCGGACCUGAUUGCCGUUGCAGAACACGGCGUAGUCGAUGGUCGUUUGGCUGUGGCCCGAGGGCGUGCUCGACAAGCCAAACUGCAAGUGCCUGUUGUCGGUGCGCAUGCAGUCGCCGGAAAUGCCGCGAAUCUCGUCGCCGACUUUCGUGAUGGCGCGCGCGCUGUACGCGCCUCUUGCCCAGUUGUUCCCGCCUUGAGUACGUUUGAGGUAGCCCUGUUUGCCGUCCGUCGUCAUGCCCUGCGAAAGUCCGACCCACUCGAUGAGAUCCAAGUCGUUCGCACCCUCGUGGACAGUCUGUAUCCAGGAGACUCGAGAGAAAGACGCGCCUGCAGUGUUGAAGCGCGCGGUGGCGUAGAGCGGGAAGGCAGGCGCCUCAUCAGACGUCGCAAACGCCGCGCCAUCCUUGUAGUACGUGACGACGCCCGAGUCGAGCACGACCACUUGGAACGUCUCACCGACGAAGUAAUCGCCAAAGUCGCCGUCGCGCACGACGCCGUGUUCGGAGAUGCGGAUCACGCCGUUGUCGCACACAAUGCCGAAGUCGACCACCUCGUCGACGGAGUUCGUCGAGCCAGAGUUCAAGCCAAUCAUCAUGGACUUGUCCGUUUGGUCGCAAUCCGCGGAGACGCCACGCACUUCGUCGCCGAUCUUCGUGAUGGCACGUUUGCUCGUGGCGCCGACGUUCCAGCCACUGCCUGCCAUUGUGCGCGUCACUUGGCCCGCGGAAGACUCGACGCCUUCCGCGUCUUCAAACUCCAUGGCCGCCAAGUCGUUCGCGCCCUUGACAACCUUGUGAACCCAGCGCGCGUUGGCCAGCUCUGCGAGGUGGUUGUGAAACGACGUGUCCGCGUAGAGCGGGAAAGAAGGCGACGUCAAGCUCGUGUACUUGAGAUCGCCGUCGACGUAGAACUCAAUCGCGCCCGCGUCGUUCACGAUCACUUGGAAAGUCUCACCCGCGACGAAGACGCCGGCAUCGAACUUGUUCACGCCCUUCUCUUGGAAUCGGACCUGAUUGCCGUUGCAGAACACGGCGUAGUCGAUGGUCGUUUGGCUGUGGCCCGAGGGCGUGCUCGACAAGCCAAACUGCAAGUGCCUGUUGUCGGUGCGCAUGCAGUCGCCGGAAAUGCCGCGAAUCUCGUCGCCGACUUUCGUGAUGGCGCGCGCGCUGUACGCGCCUCUUGCCCAGUUGUUCCCGCCUUGAGUACGUUUGAGGUAGCCCUGUUUGCCGUCCGUCGUCAUGCCCUGCGAAAGUCCGACCCACUCGAUGAGAUCCAAGUCGUUCGCACCCUCGUGGACAGUCUGUAUCCAGGAGACUCGAGAGAAAGACGCGCCUGCAGUGUUGAAGCGCGCGGUGGCGUAGAGCGGGAAGGCAGGCGCCUCAUCAGACGUCGCAAACGCCGCGCCAUCCUUGUAGUACGUGACGACGCCCGAGUCGAGCACGACCACUUGGAACGUCUCACCGACGAAGUAAUCGCCAAAGUCGCCGUCGCGCACGACGCCGUGUUCGGAGAUGCGGAUCACGCCGUUGUCGCACACAAUGCCGAAGUCGACCACCUCGUCGACGGAGUUCGUCGAGCCAGAGUUCAAGCCAAUCAUCAUGGACUUGUCCGUUUGGUCGCAAUCCGCGGAGACGCCACGCACUUCGUCGCCGAUCUUCGUGAUGGCACGUUUGCUCGUGGCGCCGACGUUCCAGCCACUGCCUGCCAUUGUGCGCGUCACUUGGCCCGCGGAAGACUCGACGCCUUCCGCGUCUUCAAACUCCAUGGCCGCCAAGUCGUUCGCGCCCUUGACAACCUUGUGAACCCAGCGCGCGUUGGCGAGCUCUGCGAGGUGGUUGUGAAACGACGUGUCCGCGUAGAGCGGGAAAGAAGGCGACGUCAAGCUCGUGUACUUGAGAUCGCCGUCGACGUAGAACUCAAUCGCGCCCGCG
Molecule: long non-coding RNA, 3973 nt
Filed under: Ostreococcus sp. 'lucimarinus'
Lineage: Eukaryota; Viridiplantae; Chlorophyta; Mamiellophyceae; Mamiellales; Bathycoccaceae
Description: long non-coding RNA (OLUC_LNC000043)
Source: RNAcentral